GCCCGGAUGGCGGAACAGGCAGACGCUGGGGACUUAAAAUCCCCUGGGGUAAUCCCCGUGAGGGUUCGAUUCCCUCUCCGGGCACCA
RNAcentral lists this transfer RNA (87 nucleotides) under Deltaproteobacteria bacterium. RNAcentral's name for it is "tRNA-Leu". It matches the Rfam family "tRNA". Rfam says of the family: Transfer RNA (tRNA) molecules are approximately 80 nucleotides in length. Their secondary structure includes four short double-helical elements and three loops (D, anti-codon, and T loops). Further hydrogen bonds mediate the characteristic L-shaped molecular structure. tRNAs have two regions of fundamental functional importance: the anti-codon, which is responsible for specific mRNA codon recognition, and the 3' end, to which the tRNAs corresponding amino acid is attached (by aminoacyl-tRNA synthetases). tRNAs cope with the degeneracy of the genetic code in two manners: having more than one tRNA (with a specific anti-codon) for a particular amino acid; and 'wobble' base-pairing, i.e. permitting non-standard base-pairing at the 3rd anti-codon position. The record is from RNAcentral. Lineage: Bacteria; Pseudomonadati; Myxococcota; Myxococcia.